GAUGAACGCUAGCGGCAGGCUUAACACAUGCAAGUCGAGGGGCAGCAUGAACCGACCUUCGGGAAGGUUUGAUGGCGACCGGCGCAAGGGUGCGUAACGCGUGAGCAACUUGCCCGUUUCUGGGGAAUAACCGGUGGAAACGCCGACUAAUACCCCAUAGCAUCAACUUUGGGCAUCCUUAGUUGAUUAAAGAAUUUCGGAAACGGAUAGGCUCGCGUGACAUUAGCUGGAUGGCGGGGUAACGGCCCACCAUGGCUACGAUGUCUAGGGGUUCUGAGAGGAAGGUCCCCCACACUGGAACUGAGACACGGUCCAGACUCCUACGGGAGGCAGCAGUGAGGAAUAUUGGCCAAUGGUCUGACGACUGAACCAGCCAUGCCGCGUGAAGGUCACGGCCCCGUAUGGGUCUUAAACUUCUUUUGUAAGGGAGCAAUAAGUCUCACGUGUGGGAUGAUGAGAGUACCUUACGAAUAAGCAAUCGGCCUAAACUCCCGUGCCAGCAGCCGA
This 507-nucleotide ribosomal RNA is filed under the name uncultured bacterium. RNAcentral describes it as "bacterial SSU rRNA". It matches the Rfam family "Bacterial small subunit ribosomal RNA", at positions 28 to 518 of the family's 1533-position model. The record is from RNAcentral.